UAAUACGGAGGGUGCAAGCGUUAUCCGGAAUCACUGGGUUUAAAGGGUGCGUAGGCGGUUUGAUAAGUCAGUGGUGAAAGCUCAUCGCUCAACGAUGAAAUUGCCAUUGAUACUGUCAGACUUGAAUUAGGAUAAGGUAAGCGGAAUGUGGCAUGUAGCGGUGAAAUGCAUAGAUAUGCCAUAGAACACCAAUUGCGAAGGCAGCUUACUGGGCCUUGAUUGACGCUGAGGCACGAAAGCGUGGGGAUCAAACAGGAUUAGAUACCCUGGUAGUCCACGCCCUAAACGAUGCUUACUCGUUGUAUGGAAUUCGUUUCAUGUGACCAAGCGAAAGCGAUAAGUAAGCCACCUGGGGAGUACGCCGGCAACGGUG
RNAcentral lists this ribosomal RNA (373 nucleotides) under uncultured bacterium. Its description in RNAcentral is "bacterial SSU rRNA". It matches the Rfam family "Bacterial small subunit ribosomal RNA", at positions 521 to 896 of the family's 1533-position model. The record is from RNAcentral.